UGAGGAAUAUUGGGCAAUGCCCGCAAGGGUGACCCAGCAACGCCGCGUGGAGGAUGAAUGUCGUAAGAUUGUAAACUCCUGUUAGAGGGGAAGAAUAGUACCGGUUGGACCGGUAUAUGACUGUACCCUCAGAGAAAGCCCCGGCUAACUACGUGCCAGCAGCCGCGGUAAUACGUAGGGGGCAAGCGUUGUCCGGAUUUAAUGGGUGUAAAGGGCGCGCAGGCGGGAUAAAAAGUCAGUGGUGAAAUCCUACAGCUUAACUGUAGAACUGCCUUUGAUACUUUUAGUCUUGAGUGCGGGAGAGAGAGACGGAAUUCCAGGUGUAGUGGUGAAAUACGUAGAUAUCUGGAAGAACACCAGUUGCGAAGGCGGUCUCUUGGUCCGACACUGACGCUGAGGCGCGAAAGCGUGGGGAGCAAACA
This 422-nucleotide ribosomal RNA is filed under the name uncultured bacterium. RNAcentral describes it as "bacterial SSU rRNA". It matches the Rfam family "Bacterial small subunit ribosomal RNA", at positions 355 to 774 of the family's 1533-position model. The record is from RNAcentral.